UCAAAAAGCAUUAAUCUUCUUCCUCCCACCUUCUUUAACCUAAAACGCUUAUCUCAUCCUGUAACCCUUACCGAUCAAUCGAUCCUCACUCUUACCUGAAAAAUGACUCAACUCCCCUCAAAUCGCCUUCACGAGUCUACCUUUGACCAUCACACAUCAACAGGUGUGUGGCGUGUUGCUUCUGUCAGCCUUCACCCGUAUCGUAUUCUUCAUCGCAACUGUGGCAACCGUUCUACACCUGGGCAAUCGGCUCUCCUGGAUUACUUCGACUACAAUCACCUCCAUCACCUUCCAAUCGACCUCUCUUGUAAGUCUAAAGUGAAAGGUUUGAAGAUGCAUACCAAUUGCUCGAUGAAAUGCAUCAACCAAAAUACUUUCUAUUUCACACGUCUUACUAGAUAAAUGGUUAUCUGUCAUUUUUUUUAUGAAACUUGUGUUUAGCAUGUGUGGGCCUCUAAUAAAAUAAACCUGGGAUUAUGAUCUUAUAUGGAAAAUUUUGUACAGACCCCAACUCUAACAUUGUCCAAGACUUAUUCUGGUUUAAAGAAUUCAAUAAAGUUUAGUAAUUGAACCUCCUGAUCCUAAAAUAACUUGCAUCAAGAGUGGAUGUCGACUGAAAUCUUUCUAAUUAGGAGGAGGAACUUGCCUGUGCUGAAAGAUCUCCAAUGCCUUGGAAUCUUCUAUAUUGUAACAUCAAAUGAAUAAACAAAAACUUGUGUAGUUGCUAUUCGGCACCCUGUAGGCUUUUGUAUUAACCAUAUAUUAAUUGAGAUUAAAAAUGUUUUACUUGGCUGAUUGUUAAUGAUUACCUUUGAAGUCUUCUGUAGACAUUGGAAAUAGUCAGGUGCAAACUAAGAAGUUUUUUAUGGAUCCAACAAUGGUUGUUUACUCCAGUGGUUAUAUUUCGACCCCUUAUUAUUAUGGAGGUAAUUGGUACUAUAAUAUUGACUGUUAGCAUAAUUUUUAAAGAAACUAUAGCCAUGCUUAGCGGAUCCAGUUUGUUAAUUAUGUAUCUGUUUUAGGUAAUGAUGGGAUUACGAGUGAUUGGGCGUGACUACUCUAGAUAUGUAAAUCAUAAUGGAGUUAGUUUGGCUCAUCUAAGAACUUGUAACAUCGUUUUUCAUCAAUCAUCCUAUUUGCGUUUUUUUAAACUAGUUUUCAUGGCUUUAAUACAGGGUGUAUAUCGUUAUGGUGCCCAAACUUGCUAAUACACUAGUUUUUAUUUCCAGCAUUUGACUUCAAACCGUGGUCUAUAGUGUGCUAAUGUCAUCGCUUCUAAGGGUGAGAUCACAACACCUGCAGCUAUGGGCCAACAGCCUUUGACUGCUAGCACAAUUAAAGCAAUCUCUUUUAAAGAUGUACUUAAUUGUGUCAUUAGGAUGUGCAUGCCUUUAAUGGUUGAGGUUGGUUUGAUGCAAUUUUUAACUUCCCUUUGGAAACAAUCCCGUUAAAGCAGGUAUUUUUUUUCCAGCAGAAUCUUUUUUUCUUUUAAUCCUAUAAUUGUUGUCAUUUUUUAUUAUUCCAGUUCGCUAGCAAAUUUUGAUCCAAUUACUUUGAGUUGAUUUGUUCUGCACUAUAUUCUAUAUCUCUACAGUGGAACGAGCUCACUUUAGAAAUUAAUGUAGCUGGUCAAUUGGGUCAAAGUACCAAAGUUUUUUAUACUCUUAUGCCUCUUUUUUUUUUUAUUUGAACGGCAAGGAACGACGUGCCAACCACCGUGGCACCGGGCGUUGUGGCCAAUAAGUAGUUGAGUAUAGUCAGUUGGCUGAUUUAAUGACAAUAAGUAGUAAGUGCUGGGAACUAUGAAGUGGAAGUAUGACUACUAAGAAAACGUUAACACGAUGAUUAUUUAACUCGCAUGAAGAUUGUGAAAGAGAUUCAUGAACACAAUGAAGUUUUGAGUUUUUAUUCAUACACUUGUUAGUUUAUUUGGGUGAUAUGUUUGAUCAUUAGACUUAGAUCGACACUUAUUAGACAUUUGGAAUCUUUGGAAGAUUGAUUGAACUUUUAAUUGAAGUGAUUAUUUUAUGAUUUCUACA
Helianthus annuus (common sunflower) is the source of this 2039-nucleotide long non-coding RNA. RefSeq lists it as uncharacterized. The transcript has 3 exons. Lineage: Eukaryota; Viridiplantae; Streptophyta; Magnoliopsida; Asterales; Asteraceae. The record is from RefSeq and is a predicted model, not a curated record.